UGAACGACUCUCGGCAACGGAUAUCUCGGCUCUCGCAUCGAUGAAGAACGUAGCGAAAUGCGAUACUUGGUGUGAAUUGCAGAAUCCCGUGAACCAUCGAGUCUUUGAACGCAAGUUGCGCCCGAAGCCUCGGCUGAGGGCACGUCUGCCUGGGUGUCACACA
This 163-nucleotide ribosomal RNA is filed under the name Terminalia schimperi. RNAcentral's name for it is "5.8S ribosomal RNA". It matches the Rfam family "5.8S ribosomal RNA". Rfam says of the family: 5.8S ribosomal RNA (5.8S rRNA) is a component of the large subunit of the eukaryotic ribosome. It is transcribed by RNA polymerase I as part of the 45S precursor that also contains 18S and 28S rRNA. The record is from RNAcentral. Lineage: Eukaryota; Viridiplantae; Streptophyta; Magnoliopsida; Myrtales; Combretaceae.